CCUACGGGUGGCAGCAGUGGGGAAUAUUGCACAAUGGGGGAAACCCUGAUGCAGCGACGCCGCGUGAGUGAAGAAGUAUUUCGGUAUGUAAAGCUCUAUCAGCAGGGAAGAAAAUGACGGUACCUGAGUAAGAAGCCCCGGCUAACUACGUGCCAGCAGCCGCGGUAAUACGUAGGGGGCAAGCGUUAUCCGGAUUUACUGGGUGUAAAGGGAGCGUAGACGGCAGAACAAGUCUGGAGUGAAAGGCGGGGGCUCAACCCCGGGACUGCUUUGGAAACUGUGCGGCUGGAGUGCAGGAGAGGUAAGUGGAAUUCCUAGUGUAGCGGUGAAAUGCGUAGAUAUCAGGAGGAACACCAGUGGCGAAGGCGGCUUGCUGGACUGUAACUGACGCUGAGGCUCGAAAGCGUGGGGAGCAAACAGGAGUAGAUACCCGAGUAGUC
Molecule: ribosomal RNA, 440 nt
Filed under: uncultured bacterium
Lineage: Bacteria
Description: partial 16S ribosomal RNA
Rfam family: Bacterial small subunit ribosomal RNA
Source: RNAcentral